UUAAUUUAAUGUGAGAAUAACUAAUAUUUGAAACUCCUUUUCAAAUGACUAAAUGAAUGGUACGUUAUUAAGAAGAAUCUUUAAGAAGUAAUUCUUUUUAUGCAGAGUCCUUGUAUUUUUUCUUCUAAAUUUUAAAGAAUAUCACAAGUUGUGAACAAGAAUUCGUGGUGCCUUGGCCCUCGUUCUCUCAUCUCCAUGCCAGAUGGCCUUUAAGAAGGAUCAUAAAUAGUUUAUCUGUUUGCUAUCUUGGACGGCAACUCGUGUCCUUAAAAGUAAUCACGACAGGCACAUUGCGAUACAGGAUUGUGGAGACAAACAUUGUGAUUCCAGCUAUUAUCCUUAGCUUCUGAGCACUGAGAAAAGAUUGUUGCUGAUGUAGAGUUUUGUAUCGUUGGACCCCACAGUCCAAGACAGAAAUAAAUAGGACAAAAACUUCCAUCUGCAUCACUAACAAAAGAAAAGGCACAUUUUUAGAUUGGCUUAAUUGAUCUACUUUUUUUCUGUCUGGGGUCACAAGUGUCAUGAAGCUGGCCACACCUCGAAAGGCUGCCUGAAUCUAUUCAGUGAAUUGACAGAAAGUUGGAAAGCAGCAUCAGCAAUACAUUCCGGAAGCUGUGACAUGCAUUGAAAAGGAACUGUUUAAGGGCAUGGCGGCGGAGUGAAUGUUUCCCCAAGAAAACAUUGUUAACAUUCACCACCACCAGAAACUUUAAUUUGAGAAUACCUAAUAUUUGAAACUCCUUUUCAAAUUACUAAAUGAAUGCUAC
This is a long non-coding RNA of Daphnia carinata, 767 nucleotides long. RefSeq lists it as uncharacterized. Lineage: Eukaryota; Metazoa; Arthropoda; Branchiopoda; Diplostraca; Daphniidae. The record is from RefSeq and is a predicted model, not a curated record. The transcript has 5 exons.